ACGUAGGCAGCGAGCGUUGUUCGGAGUUACUGGGCGUAAAGGGUGUGUAGGCGGUUGUUUAAGUUUGGUGUGAAAUCUCCCGGCUCAACUGGGAGGGUGCGCCGAAUACUGAAUGACUUCGAGUGCGGGAGAGGAGAGUGGAAUUCCUGGUGUAGCGGUGAAAUGUGUAGAGAUCGGGAGGAACACCGGUGGCGAAGGCGGGUCUCUGGGCAUUUCCUGACGCUGAGGCGCGAAAGCGUGGGGAGCAAACGGGA
This 254-nucleotide ribosomal RNA is filed under the name uncultured prokaryote. RNAcentral describes it as "partial 16S ribosomal RNA". It matches the Rfam family "Bacterial small subunit ribosomal RNA", at positions 525 to 777 of the family's 1533-position model. The record is from RNAcentral.